CGUAGGGUGCGAGCGUUGUCCGGAAUUAUUGGGCGUAAAGAGCUUGUAGGCGGUUUGUCGCGUCUGCUGUGAAAAUCCGGGGCUCAACCCCGGACUUGCAGUGGGUACGGGCAGACUAGAGUGUGGUAGGGGAGACUGGAAUUCCUGGUGUAGCGGUGAAAUGCGCAGAUAUCAGGAGGAACACCGAUGGCGAAGGCAGGUCUCUGGGCCACUACUGACGCUGAGAAGCGAAAGCGUGGGGAGCGAACAGGAUUAGAUACCCUGGUAGUCCACGCCGUAAACGUUGGGAACUAGGUGUGGGCCUCAUUCCACGAGGUCUGUGCCGCAGCUAACGCAUUAAGUUCUCCGCCUGGGGAGUACGGCCGCAAGGCUA
This 373-nucleotide ribosomal RNA is filed under the name uncultured organism. Its description in RNAcentral is "bacterial SSU rRNA". It matches the Rfam family "Bacterial small subunit ribosomal RNA", at positions 526 to 896 of the family's 1533-position model. The record is from RNAcentral.